This 370-nucleotide ribosomal RNA is filed under the name Raffaelea promiscua. RNAcentral describes it as "partial large subunit ribosomal RNA". It matches the Rfam family "Eukaryotic large subunit ribosomal RNA", at positions 76 to 442 of the family's 3401-position model. The record is from RNAcentral. Lineage: Eukaryota; Fungi; Ascomycota; Sordariomycetes; Ophiostomatales; Ophiostomataceae.
UGCCCCAGUAACGGCGAGUGAAGCGGCAACAGCUCAAAUUUGAAAUCUGGCCCCCCCCGCGGGGCCCGAGUUGUACUUUGGAGAGGAUGCUUUGGGCGCGGCGCCGGCCGAGUUCCCUGGAACGGGACGCCAGAGAGGGUGAGAGCCCCGUACGGCCGGACGCCCAGCCCGUGCAAAGCUCCUUCGACGAGUCGAGUAGUUUGGGAAUGCUGCUCAAAACGGGAGGUAAAUUUCUUCUAAAGCUAAAUACCGGCCAGAGACCGAUAGCGCACAAGUAGAGUGAUCGAAAGAUGAAAAGCACUUUGAAAAGAGGGGUUAAACAGCACGUGAAAUUGUUGAAAGGGAAGCGCCUGGGGCCAGACGUGCGCCC